RNAcentral lists this ribosomal RNA (272 nucleotides) under uncultured Staphylococcus sp. Its description in RNAcentral is "partial 16S ribosomal RNA". It matches the Rfam family "Bacterial small subunit ribosomal RNA", at positions 89 to 355 of the family's 1533-position model. Lineage: Bacteria; Bacillati; Bacillota; Bacilli; Caryophanales; Staphylococcaceae. The record is from RNAcentral.
ACGUUAGCGGCGACGGGUGAGUAACACGUGGGUAACCUACCUAUAAGACUGGGAUAACUUCGGGAAACCGGAGCUAAUACCGGAUAAUAUUUCGAACCGCAUGGUUCGAUAGUGAAAGANGGUUUUGCUAUCACUUAUAGAUGGACCUGCGCCGUAUUAGCUAGUUGGUAAGGUAACGGCUUACCAAGGCGACGAUACGUAGCCGACCUGAGAGGGUGAUCGGCCACACUGGAACUGAGACACGGUCCAGACUCCUACGGGAGGCAGCAGCC